RNAcentral lists this ribosomal RNA (441 nucleotides) under uncultured bacterium. Its description in RNAcentral is "partial 16S ribosomal RNA". It matches the Rfam family "Bacterial small subunit ribosomal RNA", at positions 338 to 795 of the family's 1533-position model. The record is from RNAcentral.
CCUACGGGGGGCAGCAGUGGGGAAUAUUGCACAAUGGGGGAAACCCUGAUGCAGCGACGCCGCGUGAGUGAAGAAGUAUUUCUGUAUGUAAAGCUCUAUCAGCAGGAACGAGACAAGACGGUACCUGACUAAGAAGCCCCGGCUAACUACGUGCCAGCAGCCGCGGUAAUACGUAGGGGGCAAGCGUUAUCCGGAAUCACUGGGUGUAAAGGGAGCGUAGACGGCUGAGCAAGCCUGAAGUGAAAGGCGGGGGCCCAACCCCUGGACUGCUUUGGGAACUGUACGGCUGGAGUGCAGGAGAGGUAAGUGGAAUUCCUAGUGUAGCGGUGAAAUGCGUAGAUAUUAGGAGGAACACCAGUGGCGAAGGCGGCUUACUGGACUGUAACUGACGUUGAGGCUCGAAAGCGUGGGGAGCAAACAGGAUUAGAUACCCGGGUAGUC